RNAcentral lists this ribosomal RNA (497 nucleotides) under uncultured bacterium. Its description in RNAcentral is "partial 16S ribosomal RNA". It matches the Rfam family "Bacterial small subunit ribosomal RNA", at positions 28 to 507 of the family's 1533-position model. The record is from RNAcentral.
GACGAACGCUGGCGGCGUGCCUAAUACAUGCAAGUAGAACGCUGAAGCGAGGAGCUUGCUCCUCUUGGCUGAGUUGCGAACGGGUGAGUAACGCGUAGGUAACCUGCCUUGUAGCGGGGGAUAACUAUUGGAAACGAUAGCUAAUACCGCAUAACAAUGGAUGACACAUGUCAUUUAUUUGAAAGGGGCAAUUGCUCCACUACAAGAUGGACCUGCGUUGUAUUAGCUAGUAGGUGAGGUAAUGGCUCACCUAGGCGACGAUACAUAGCCGACCUGAGAGGGUGAUCGGCCACACUGGGACUGAGACACGGCCCAGACUCCUACGGGAGGCAGCAGUAGGGAAUCUUCGGCAAUGGGGGCAACCCUGACCGAGCAACGCCGCGUGAGUGAAGAAGGUUUUCGGAUCGUAAAGUUCUGUUGUAAGUCAAGAACGGGUGUGAGAGUGGAAAGUUCACACUGUGACGGUAGCUUAACAGAAAGGGACGGCUAACUACGUG